This 496-nucleotide ribosomal RNA is filed under the name uncultured bacterium. RNAcentral describes it as "partial 16S ribosomal RNA". It matches the Rfam family "Bacterial small subunit ribosomal RNA", at positions 30 to 523 of the family's 1533-position model. The record is from RNAcentral.
UUGAACGCUGGCGGCAGGCCUAACACAUGCAAGUCGAGCGCGAAAGGUUUUCGGACUGAGUAAAGCGGCGGACGGGUGAGUAACGCGUGGGAAUCUGCCCAGUAGUGGGGGACAACAGCCCGAAACGGCUGCUAAUACCGCAUACGCCCUACGGGGGAACGGGGGGGAUCUUCGGACCGCGCGCCAUUGGAUGAGCCCGCGUGGGAUUAGCUCGUUGGUAGGGUAAAGGCCAACCAAGGCUACGAUCCGUAACUGGUCUGAGAGGAUGAUCAGUAACACUGGAACUGAGACACGGUCCAGACUCCUACGGGAGGCAGCAGUGGGGAAUAUUGGACAAUGGGGGCAACCCUGAUCCAGCCAUGCCGCGUGUGUGAAGAAGGCCUUAGGGUUGUAAAGCACUUUCAGUGGGGAGAAAGGUUUGUCACCUAAUACGUGAUGAAAUUGAUGUUACCCACAGAAGAAGCACCGGCUAACUCCGUGCCAGCAGCCGCCGUAA